This 2374-nucleotide unclassified non-coding RNA is filed under the name Leishmania donovani. Lineage: Eukaryota; Euglenozoa; Kinetoplastea; Trypanosomatida; Trypanosomatidae. The record is from RNAcentral.
AAUCGCCAUCCACCAGCACACUAUUUGUUUCCUCUUUCACAGGUCCGCAACGAGCCCCAUCACAGCGGCCGCAUCCAACGUCGCGCACCAUUCCGCCCAGAUGGACACUGCACCCGAUCAUCGCGAGCCCCAGGAGCAGGGCGAAAGUCGCAAGUGGUAUGAAAUGACUGCAAGCGAGUUCUACGUGUACGUCGUCGCGUUCAUGUGCGGCGUGUCCAUGAUGAUGUCCGUCAAUGCCGUCUUCUCCGCGCCUGCAUACAUUAUGACGUACUACCGCUACGCCAUGCAGGACCCGGAAGCGGUUCCGCUGUACACAAACUUCUGGAACAACGUCAUGACCUACUACAACCUUAUCGGUAUCGUGACGAGCCUGAUCAUGGAGCCGCUGACGCUGCUCAGCUGGUUCCGCCGCAUCCCGAUAAAGGUGCGUCUGCUUGGCGGCCUGGUCAUCCUGAUCGUCGAGAUCAUCGUGCUUAUGGUGGUGCCUGCGCGCGGCACGAGCGAGGCCGGUGCCGUGGCGACGAUCUGCUGCACCGGUUUCAUUGGCGGCUUCGGCAAGAGCAUCUUCGAGUCCACGGCGUACGGCAUGUUCGGUGCCUUCCCCUCGAGCUUCACGUCCACCAUGAUGGGUGGCGUCGGCAUGUCUGGUGUGCUGACAUCGCUGCUGCAGAUCAUCGUGAAGGCUGCGCUGCCCGACUCCUACGAGGGCGUGAAGAAGCAGUCGAAGAUCUACUACGGCCUGGACGUGGGUAUCCAGGGCAUGACCUUCGUUGCGCUGAUCCUGCUCCGCUUCAACAGCUUCGCCCAGAACUACUUCGGUGACCUCGGUGCUGUGAAGAGCAAGGUGGACGCCGGCAAGCUAUCGGCGGAGGCGCUCUGCCACACCGACGAGCACCCGACUCAUGACAAGGAGGGUCGCAACUCUUCUUCGGGCAAGGAGGUGCCGGCCCUGGGUGAGGUGCAGACGGCCGCCGCCAAGUCGGAGGGCCCGGAUGCGGUGGAAGAGAGCUCAUGGCCGCACGAGGUGGAGGGCCCGACGAGUAACGAGAUCCUCGUGGCCACCGCCAUCUUCAGCACGCUGCGCCGUGUCAAGUGGAUGUUCGUCGCCUGUGCCUUUAAUUUUCUCAUCACGCUGUUCCUCUUCCCCGGCAUCGCUGUCGGCAUGUUUCCGGACUCGAAGUGGUUCUCGACGAUCGCCGUGUUCAUCUUCAACGUGUUCGAUGUGCUGGGCCGCUUCUCGCCGUCGCUGAAGCUCAUGUGGCCGCGGUCGUACAAGCAGCGCUGGAUCAUCGUAGCGGCGUCCUUUGCGCGCGUCAUCUUUGUGCCGCUGCUGCUGCUGCACUCGUACCACUACAUCCCGGGCGAGGCGUACGGCUACGUGAUGGAGGUCAUCUUCGGCUUCUCGAACGGCUACGUGGGCUCGAUGGCGCUGGUGCUUGGCCCGCAGUCGAAGGGCAUCGACAACGACGGCAAGCGCUUCGUUGCCGGUACUCUGAUGGGCAUCUCCAUCCUCGUCGGUGGCACGAUCGGCACCGUGCUCAGCAUCAUGACGCAGACCAUCCGCGAGCGCCACUGAUGUGCGAAGCAACGCAUCUGAACGGAAUUUUUGGAUGUUGAUCGGUGGCGGUGAGGAUGCUCGCACACGCAUGCUGGCACGCGGUCCGACUCGAGUGCAUGCGAGCGGUCCGCGGCAUCAUCAAGGACAAGUCUGUCGUUUCGUUGUCUUCUGUUCCUGCACCGCAUAUUGUGCUUUGCGCGCCUUUUUCUUUUUUUUUUUGGUUUAAUGUGGGCCACCUUGUGCCCCGCUGCUUUCCUCCAUCAUCCUUUUCCGCCACCUCGAGCACCUCGUGUGGCUUAUCUUCUUCCUCUCCCUCCCACCCUCCCACCCUCCCCCCCCCCUCUCUCUCUCUCUCUCUCUUUGCUUGUGCGUGUGUGCGUGCGUGUGUGUGCCCCGCGCACUGCUGUUGAUCUCCCCCCUCCGCCGUUGACUCGCUCGUGCUCCCUCUUACCUGUUGUGUGUGUGUGUGUGUGUGUGUUGAUUUAUUAUGACGGGGUGCUCUGCUUCUGCGUUGGUUUCGCUUCGACGCGCUCCGAUGAUGCAUGGCGACUUCGCCCUGGCAUCCGAGGCCCCGUGCCCACCCCGCUUUGUGGGAACGCGAAGUAGCCGGUCGCCUGUCCUUGGCUACGGUUGAGGACUCUUGGUGUCGGCAGGACAGGUCUGUGCCGGCGCUGUGCCGAAGAGACCUGCGGUCAUGAUGACGCUCGUACCACCUCGCUACGAAUAUUGUCGAUGAUGCAGCACAUGUACGCAUCCACCUCUUUAUUCUGUUUUCUGCUUCGUUGCGGUGAUGUGGAGCGCAAUCCGUGGGCCCAG